ACGAACGCUUGCGGCGUGCUUUACACAUGCAAGUCGAACGGAAAGGCCCUGCUUUUGUGGGGUGCUCGAGUGGCGAACGGGUGAGUAACACGUGAGUAACCUGCCCUUGACUUUGGGAUAACUUCAGGAAACUGGGGCUAAUACCGGAUAGGAGCUCCUGCUGCAUGGUGGGGGUUGGAAAGUUUCGGCGGUUGGGGAUGGACUCGCGGCUUAUCAGCUUGUUGGUGGGGUAGUGGCUUACCAAGGCUUUGACGGGUAGCCGGCCUGAGAGGGUGACCGGCCACAUUGGGACUGAGAUACGGCCCAGACUCCUACGGGAGGCAGCAGUGGGGAAUAUUGCACAAUGGGCGGAAGCCUGAUGCAGCAACGCCGCGUGCGGGAUGACGGCCUUCGGGUUGUAAACCGCUUUCGCCUGUGACGAAGCGUGAGUGACGGUAAUGGGUAAAGAAGCACCGGCUAACUACGUG
This 467-nucleotide ribosomal RNA is filed under the name uncultured bacterium. RNAcentral's name for it is "partial 16S ribosomal RNA". It matches the Rfam family "Bacterial small subunit ribosomal RNA", at positions 29 to 507 of the family's 1533-position model. The record is from RNAcentral.